UUAAAUCGUUGAAGAAACCUCCAACGUUGUCCCGACGUUCCGUUACAAACUGUGAGGCUGUUGAAGGGAACUUUGAUACUUGUGAGGGGAGUGCGGCUUGUGUGUGCAUCGCCUCACGUGUACGUAACGAAAGACAGCUACACAAAAGCACUGCACCUCGUCCGGAGGGAGAUCACAGGUGACAUUGAAUAUGGAGAAUAUUGAUGCACAGAGACAAAAUAGACUGUCAAAUAAUCCACAUCAAUACCAUAACUCAUCAGGAAGCGAGAAUUAUGACGAUGAAGGAGAGAAGCCAAAUAAGAAAAUGAGAGUUGCAGUUAUGUCAGUCGAGGCCAUUCAGUGCUGCUCAAUGGUGGGCCUGCCAUUGCCACCAGAAUUCAUCACUCACCCAGCUCUGUCUGAGUUUUGCUCACAAACAAGUGCCUCAACGUCCAAAGACAUACUUCACAUGAUUAGAACCCCUUCGCCGCUUGGACAGACGUCAACAGGAAGUUCACGACCAGGGAGCUAUUCAAUAGAAGGUGAAAAAGAUUACAAGAGCAAAGUUCUACUCAAACUGGACAUCAUUAUAGAAAACCAGGCGGAGCAAUUGCACCUUUUGCAAACACUUGCAAACAAAGCGGUUGUAAAUGAGACCUUAGAGGAUGUUCUUCCAAACCCAUUCAACACGACUGAUGAACUUGAAGAGCUUUGCUGUAGAAUUAGCACAGACAACAAACUCAAAAAGCAAAUGAUAUCCCAUCUGAGUUCACUGGGUGGAUGUAACGUUGGGGACAGUGUCCACCGAAUGAUGAGAACGCUCGGCACCAAUGCCAUGUGGUCAAAGUACAGCCUCAAAGGGAGGAAAGGGAAGCUGUCCCUAAUAGAUCUUCCAGUUUUCAUGGUGCUGACGAGAGCUUGCUUAAAGAACCACCCAAGAGCAAAGGUGAAGGAAAUAGAGGGAGAGAUUGCAGAAACCCUGAAGCAUGCUCCCAACAAACGAGGAGGGGCAAAUUACAAGGAAUCUGAAGUCAGGACUUUAAGAAAUGAGCACCAGUCCAGCCUUCCCUUGUCUUUCUCUGACACUGAUCUUUGCAAUUAUUAAAUCAAUACAACCUUCAAAUACCAUUUGUAAAAGUUUCAUAUCUUGGCCUAUAUAUAUAAAAGCAAUUUAAAGUAGCUGACAUUAAUGGCAAAAUGUUAUCUCUAGCUUCUGUACUAUAUUAGUUUAAGUGUAUAUUAUUUGUACUCAAUUUGUACUUUUUAGAGUGAAAAUAAAUGUUUAAUGUCA
Molecule: long non-coding RNA, 1270 nt
Organism: Lethenteron reissneri (Far Eastern brook lamprey)
Lineage: Eukaryota; Metazoa; Chordata; Hyperoartia; Petromyzontiformes; Petromyzontidae
Source: RefSeq, a predicted model, not a curated record